Long non-coding RNA from Schistocerca nitens (vagrant locust), 1233 nucleotides. RefSeq lists it as uncharacterized. The transcript is spliced from 5 exons. The record is from RefSeq and is a predicted model, not a curated record. NCBI's taxonomy places the organism in Eukaryota, Metazoa, Arthropoda, Insecta, Orthoptera, Acrididae.
GGACAGGUGAAGUGGAGAGAGAGGGAAGGUAACAUUCAGCACGUCGUAGUCGGCUGGGAGCGUUCGCCGCAGCAAUCGAUGCAGAGUGGAAGAUGGAACUAGUAUGACAACACAGUUGAAGCUUGUCGCAUGGAAGCUGAGCGCGACGGGACGUACGUCAGAAAGUCAAAGUCUAAUGCUGCCAGCUCGUGGGUACUGCUGCACCUUCCCGGAACCCAGUGAUGUGGAAAACUACCAGUAGCAGCAAUACUGUGCAUCUAAUCAGCUUGUCUGCUAUUGAAGAUGGACAGUCAGAUGUCACCAGAACAAGUGUGUCCAGAACGUUUGAAGUGACAUAGACUUUUCAUCAACAGCAGCCUGUGUGAGAAGAGAAAGCCAUGGUCCUGUACAAAAUGCGUCACUGGGACCCAGUUGCUCUUUUUGCUCAUAUGGCAGACGAGUGUGGUGGUGUGAAGCAGAAUGAAGAAGCAGAGUGGGGUGAAAUGCAGGCCAUGAAAAACACCAUGGAACAUCUAACCCCCACUGCCAUUUUACUUUCAAGCAAAAUUUUCAAGAUACAUCUCUUCAGUACCAACGAUCUUUAUUUGUGUGACUUGGCACUGGAAGAAUUCACAGAUAGUUUGAUAAAUCGUGGAUCUCCUGGUGCCAAAGCAUACAUAUAAAAACUGCUACAAUGCGGAGUGGGAAUGCAUCGCAAAUCCUUCAGUAAUACAUUAGAACACUGUAUUGUAGUGAAAUGUUUGAAGCAAUUAUAUUUGUAUGUAAAUAAAUUUGAAUAACAAUUUCAGAAGUGUAUUAACUCAUGUAAUUCAUUUUUAUGGUAAAAUACUUAUACUAAUGCUGCUCACUGAAAUAAUUAUGGAGUUCCCAUUUUACAUAACAUAGGAGAAAGAUAAGCAUCCACUGUUGUAUGUAGCUGCUUAUCUUAAUUCAAAAUAAAACCUAAGUUAUUCUGUUAUGGAGAGCAUGUUCAGCAUACAUAUUUCAGUAUGUAGGAAGGAUUGAGAAGAAAAUCAUUGUGCUAUAUGAGAGUUUUUUUAAAUAAAUAUUUUGUGUAAAAACUGAUGAAAUAGUAAUUAUAUGGAAAUGGUACAUGACUGUGUUACAUGUUUAAGUAUGUGAUGCCUCAGCUGAUAUAAGUUAGCAUUAAUGUGAUACAUUAUAGAAUGAUUAUUGUUAAUAAAUCACAGUGCUGUCAAUAUUUUGUCACUAAAUUAAUGUAAAAUAAUUAGU